This 253-nucleotide ribosomal RNA is filed under the name uncultured bacterium. RNAcentral's name for it is "partial 16S ribosomal RNA". It matches the Rfam family "Bacterial small subunit ribosomal RNA", at positions 524 to 776 of the family's 1533-position model. The record is from RNAcentral.
UACGGGGGGGGCAAGCGUUGUUCGGAAUUACUGGGCGUAAAGGGCGCGUAGGCGGCCUGCUAAGUCGGAUGUGAAAUCCCUCGGCUCAACCGAGGAACUGCAUCCGAUACUGGCGGGCUUGAAUCCGGGAGAGGGAUGUGGAAUUCCAGGUGUAGCGGUGAAAUGCGUAGAUAUCUGGAGGAACACCGGUGGCGAAGGCGGCAUCCUGGACCAACACUGACACUGAGGAGCGAAAGCCAGGGGAGCAAACGGG